CUACGGGCUGCUGCAGUGAGGAAUAUUGCACAAUGGGGGGAACCCUGAUGCAGCAACGCCGCGUGGAGGAUGACGCAUUUCGGUGUGUAAACUCCUUUUAUAUGUCAAGAAAAUGACGGUAGCAUAUGAAUAAGCACCGGCUAACUCCGUGCCAGCGGCCGCGGUAAUACGGAGGGUGCAAGCGUUACUCGGAAUCACUGGGCGUAAAGGACGCGUAGGCGGGUUGGAAAGUCAGGUGUGAAAUCCUACAGCUUAACUGUAGAACUGCACUUGAAACUUCUAAUCUAGAGUAUGGGAGGGGGAGAUGGAAUUAGGGGUGUAGGGGUAAAAUCCGUAGAUAUCACUAGGAAUACCUAAAGCGAAGGCGAUCUCCUGGAACAUUACUGACGCUAAGGCGUGAAAGCGUGGGGAGCAAACAGGAUUAGAUACCCGUGUAGUC
Molecule: ribosomal RNA, 439 nt
Filed under: uncultured bacterium
Lineage: Bacteria
Description: partial 16S ribosomal RNA
Rfam family: Bacterial small subunit ribosomal RNA
Source: RNAcentral